CGGGACGUGGCGCAGCUUGGUAGCGCAUCUGCUUUGGGAGCAGAGGGUCGCAGGUUCAAAUCCUGUCGUCCCGA
Molecule: transfer RNA, 74 nt
Filed under: Corynebacterium sp.
Lineage: Bacteria; Bacillati; Actinomycetota; Actinomycetes; Mycobacteriales; Corynebacteriaceae
Also listed under: 1 other name
Description: tRNA-Pro
Rfam family: tRNA
About the family: Transfer RNA (tRNA) molecules are approximately 80 nucleotides in length. Their secondary structure includes four short double-helical elements and three loops (D, anti-codon, and T loops).
Source: RNAcentral